AUGAGACUGAAGCUCAAAGAAGUUAAGUAACUUGCCAAAAGACUCCCAGCUAAAAGUGUGAGAGCAAAGACUCAAACCAAGGCAGUCUUCUGGUUUCAGAGCCUGAAGUCUUAACCAGGUGAGAAUAAAACUUCCAGCAUGCUUAUGUGUGUGCUUAUCUGUGAAUGACCCCAGAGCUGACUGCAGAUGUUGAGAGAAGAGGUAACUUUGACCAAAUGCAGUCAUGACCUCAGGUGUGGGCAAGUCCUUGUUCCCUACCUGGACUUGGCUAGGCCUGCAGGUCAUACAGGAAGAACAGUCCCUCUGAAGGUGACCAUAAUCCACAGGGCAGGGUGUGGAAAGUGACAGAGGUGAAUUUAUUAAAUGACUUGGUCAAGUCCCCACAGCUGGUCACUGGCAGAAGCAGCAGAAACAAAUAGGCAGCAUUAUCUAUUCUCCCAGUCAACAAACAGCCUUUGAGCCCAGCUAUGCCUGGCACUGUCUCUGCAGUCAAGCCCCAGACUUACAAUACUGAUUUUAAGUCCAACUAUAUAAUUAGCUGGACUACAUUUUAAAUAUGUGUACUAGGGAAACAGGAGGGACCCUAUAGUCUUUUAUAUGCUCAAGUGUUCAGUGCUUCUGCAGGAGGCAGAGAGCUAAAAGAAGAGAGAAGUUUGAUGGGAGAAAAUAAUUUCCUGGUUGCAAAAGAUAAGAAAAGGAAUUCACUCAGGAACUCAAGACCACAAGGUAGACACACACAGUCUCUGCUCAAGUUUUGCCAAGCUCUGUACAGAAGAAACCAUGUUCUUUGUUUUUUCAAGUUCCUUUUAAGUGGGAUAAAAAAGUGGAUUGGGGCCAGGCGCGGUGGCUCAUGCCUGUAAUCCCAGCACUUUGGGAGGCCUAGGCAGGCAGAUCAUGAGGUCAGGAGAUCGAGACCAUCCUGGCUAACAUGGUGAAACCCCGUCUCUACUAAAAAUACACACAAAAAAUUAGCUGGGCAUGGUGGUGGGCGCCUGUGGUCCCAGCUACUUGGGAGGCUGAGGCAGGAGAAUGGCAUGAACCCAGGAGGCGGAGCUUGCAGUGAUCCGAGAUCUCACCACUGCACUACAUCCUGGGUGACAGAGCGAGACUCCAUCUCAAAAAAAAAAAAAAAAGAAAGAGUGGAUUGGCCCCACCUUUCAUCGUACACAAAAGUAAGUUAAAAAUACAAUUCUGAAAAGCUUUACUUAGAAUUUUUUCAGAAGAAAAUAUAGGAGAAUUUUUUUUUACCUCAGCCCGUGGAUGAAUUUUGUAAACUUGGAAAAAUAAGAUUGGAACAAUAAGCACAGGAUAUAAAGGAAGACAAUACAUUUGACCACACUGGAAUUAAAAACUUUGGUUUACUAAAAGAGUUUGUUUGUUUGUUUUGAGGUGGAGUCUUGCUCUGUCGCCCAGGCUGGAGUGCAGUGGCACGAUCUCGGCUCACUGCAAUCUCAGCCUCCCGGGUUCAAGCAAUUCUUCUGCCUCAGCCUCCAGAGUAGCUGGGAUUACAGACACCUGCCACCGCACCCGGCUAAUUUUUGUAUUUUUAGUGGAGACGGGGUUUCACCAUGUUGCCCAGGCUGGUCUCGAACUCCUGACCUCGUGAUCCGCCCGCCUCGGCCUCCCAAAGUGUUGGGAUUAGGCGUGAGCCACCGCCCAGCUAAAGAUAUUGUUUAAAGCUUGAAAAGACAAGCCAUAGACUGGAAGAAGGUAUCUCCAAUCCAUGUAUUUACAAAGAACUAGUUUCCAGACUAUGUAAGAAGUUCUGUAAUCAAUGAGGAAAAAACACAACUCCACAGAAAAAUGGGCAAAAGAUGAGAAUGGGCAGUUGACACAAGUGAAAAUCCAAAUGGCCAAGAAACAUCAGUAGAUGCCCACCCUCAUCAGUAACCAGGGAAAUGCAAAUGAAACCACAAUCAGAUGCCGUGCCACACUUUUCAAAUGGAAAAAAAUGAUCAACUUUCACUGUCCCAGUAGCAGGAUCACUGCUAGUGAGGGCGUAAACUGAUUCAGCUACUUUGGUGUGUGCUUUUAUGUUUCAUAUCUUUUAAUGGAGAGAAGGCAAUGCAUAGAGUGCACAAAUCUUUUUUAUUUAUUUAUUUAUUUAUUUAUUUAUUUUGAGAUGGAGUCUCGCUCUGUCGCCCAGGCUGGAGUGCAGUGGCGAGAUCUCGGCUCAUUGAAAGCUCUGCCUCCUGGGUUCAUGCCAUUCUCCUGCCUCAGCCUCCUGAGUAGCUGGGACUACAGGCGCCCGCCACCACGCCCGGCUAAUUUUUUGUAUUUUUAGUAGAGACGGGGUUUCACCCUGUUAGCCAGGAUGGUCUGGAUCUCUUGACCUUGUGAUCCACCUGUCUUGGCCUCCCAAAGUGCUGGGAUUACAGGCGUGAGCCACCACGCCCGGCCACAGUACACAAAUCUUAAGUGUAUACCGAGGUAACCACCACCCGCAUGGAGGCAUAGAAUCUCUCCAGAACCCCCACUGGGUUCCUUCCUGCCCCUUCCCACUUUAUACCUCCCUCCUCAAGGUACCGUUACCUUACUGCUUUUCAUUACAGAUUCAUUUAACCUGUUCUAGACUUCAUAUAAUUUUUGGUUUCUUUCAUUCAACAUACCUGUUAGAUCCAUCCAUGUUGUUGGCAUGUAGGAGUAGUUUGUUCCUUUGUAUUGCUAAGUAGUAUUCCAUUGUGUAGAUACACCAUAAUUUAUUUCUGCAUUCUCCUAUUGAUUGGAAUUUGAAUUCUUUCCACUUCGGGGACUAUUAUGAAUAAAGCUGCUAGAAAUAUUAUUGAUGUGAAGUAUAGCAACUCUGGUGAGCAAUUUGGAUUCUCUAGUUAACUUGAAAAAGUGUAUACUCUAUGACCCAGCAAUUCCAUUCCUAGGAAAAUAUGUUAGAGAAACUUUCAUACGUGUUAAGAAACAUGAGUAAAAAUGUCUGUAGCUGUUUUGUUAAUAGUUACAAAAACAAAACAAAAUAAAAUAAUCUUAAAUGCCCACCAA
This 2994-nucleotide long non-coding RNA is filed under the name Homo sapiens (human). RNAcentral describes it as "CPEB1 antisense RNA 1". Lineage: Eukaryota; Metazoa; Chordata; Mammalia; Primates; Hominidae. The record is from RNAcentral.